RNAcentral lists this ribosomal RNA (52 nucleotides) under Halimeda cuneata. RNAcentral describes it as "partial 28S ribosomal RNA". Lineage: Eukaryota; Viridiplantae; Chlorophyta; Ulvophyceae; Bryopsidales; Halimedaceae. The record is from RNAcentral.
UUCGAUGUCCUCGGCGAGGAAACCCGCUGAACUUAAGCAUAUCAAUAAGCGG